UAGGAAUCUUCCACAAUGGACGCAAGUCUGAUGGAGCAACGCCGCGUGAGUGAAGAAGGUUUUCGGACCGUAAAGCUCUGUUGUUGGUGAAGAAGGAUAGAGGUAGUAACUGGCCUUUAUUUGACGGUAAUCAACUAGAAAGUCACGGCUAACUACGUGCCAGCAGCCGCGGUAAUACGUAGGCGGCAAGCGUUGUCCGGAUUUAUUGGGCGUAAAGCGAGCGCAGGCGGAAGAAUAAGUCUGAUGUGAAAGCCCUCGGCUUAACCGAGGAAUUGCAUCGGAAACUG
This 287-nucleotide ribosomal RNA is filed under the name uncultured bacterium. RNAcentral describes it as "partial 16S ribosomal RNA". It matches the Rfam family "Bacterial small subunit ribosomal RNA", at positions 356 to 635 of the family's 1533-position model. The record is from RNAcentral.